CGCGCGGUGGAGCAGUCUGGUAGCUCGCCGUCCUCAUAAGUCGGAGGCCGUUGGUUCAAAUCCAACCCGCGCAACCA
RNAcentral lists this transfer RNA (77 nucleotides) under Verrucomicrobiaceae bacterium. RNAcentral describes it as "tRNA-Met". It matches the Rfam family "tRNA". From Rfam's summary of the family: Transfer RNA (tRNA) molecules are approximately 80 nucleotides in length. Their secondary structure includes four short double-helical elements and three loops (D, anti-codon, and T loops). Lineage: Bacteria; Pseudomonadati; Verrucomicrobiota; Verrucomicrobiia; Verrucomicrobiales; Verrucomicrobiaceae. The record is from RNAcentral.